UACGGGGGGGGCAAGCGUUGUUCGGAAUUACUGGGCGUAAAGGGUUCGUAGGUGGCCAGCUAAGUCAGACGUGAAAUCCCUCAGCUUAACUGAGGAACUGCGUCUGAUACUGAUUGGCUUGAGUGCAGGAGAGGAACGCGGAAUUCCAGGUGUAGCGGUGAAAUGCGUAGAUAUCUGGAGGAACACCGGUGGCGAAGGCGGCGUUCUGGACUGCAACUGACACUGAGGAACGAAAGCCAGGGGAGCAAACGGG
This 253-nucleotide ribosomal RNA is filed under the name uncultured bacterium. RNAcentral's name for it is "partial 16S ribosomal RNA". It matches the Rfam family "Bacterial small subunit ribosomal RNA", at positions 524 to 776 of the family's 1533-position model. The record is from RNAcentral.